GAUUUAUUCAGAAAUUUGGCUUAAAGAUCACGGUGGACAAGACUCAACUUGGCUGGAAGACUGCAAUCCCUCAGCAGAACUACGCAGACAAUCAAGCUGGCCAAGUUUUAUUCUAAGAAGCAAUGAGAGACAACUGAAACUGCCCUGAUUUUCCUAAACUGUUUCAGCAACCUCUGGGAGGUUAAAACUGUCAUACAUAAAGGAUUUGUUUUUCCAGUUAGCCAACAGGCAGCAGAGCUCCGAGGGACUGGAAAGCAGAGGGAACAGGCAUUCAGAAAGGUUCCGAAGCCUGGAGAAGACAGAGGCUCUUCGCACACCCUUUCAACUUGGUCCUUCCGCACAGAAAUCCACUGCCACAGAAUGAUGUCCAAACUCAAGGUCCUUCCUAUGCUGGUCCCAGCCCACCUCCAUGAGCUGAGCUCCCCUCCAAGGCAGGGUCUGUUCUCAUUUAUCAAAAGUAACCUGCAUAAAAGUACGGUACCACAUGCGCAUGUCUCAGCACAGGGUCUCAUAAAAAAUAAAAUAACUGGAGAGCAAAUUAAAUCUUUACCAAAUUUCUUGAGGAACACCAAAAAUAGAUCCUAUUUAUAAUAUACAGCAAAAAAUUUGAACUUUUGUAUUUUACCUUGUGGCAGCUGGCCCCCAAAUCUCUCUCAAAUUCUCCCUAAGUCUCCUUCAGCUCUACCUUUUCUUACCUAUCCCUUUUUCCCCUUCCAGAUCCAGCUUCCACGCUUUCCAAGGAGUACAGAGUAGCUGGGUAAGAGCAUGAGAUCUGGGGCUAGACUAGCUGUACUCAAAUUUAGUUCUGUUGUUCUCUUACUUGGCAGGUACCUGGCACAUGGUAAAUGCUCAAUGAAUGUGACUUCUUGUUAUUGUUGUUGUUAAAAUCCUGUUGGCCUCUCCAAUGUAUAUUUUUUCCACUUGCCCAUUUUUCCAUUGGUGCAACAAGAAAUGUGUCUUAGUCUCCUUGGACUGCCAUAGCAAACUGUCAUAAGCUGGGUGGCUAAAAACCAAUAGCAAGUUAUUCUCUUACAGUUCAGGAGGCCAGAAGUCCAAAGCCAAGGUGUUGGCAGGGCCGCGCUCCCUCCAGAGGCUCUAGGGGAGAUUCUGUUUCUUGCCUCUUGCUGCUUCUGGGGCCUGUUGGUAUUCCUGAGCUUGUCCAAGCUCUGCCUCUGACUCUACAUGGACUUCUCCAUUUUUCUCUGUCUCUAAUAAGGACAUUUAUCAUUAGAUUUAGGGCCCACCCAAAUUAUCCAAGAUAAUCUCAUUUCAAGAGCCUUAAUUUAAUGACAUCUGCAAAGACCUUUUUUAACAAAUAAGGUCAUCUGCACAGGUCCUGGGGAUCAGGAUUUGGACAUAUCUUUUGGGAGGCCACCAUUCAACCCACUACAGAACGACACUGGGAGGGGGGCAGAGAAGAGGGUUGCACAUACCUCUAAUUCUUGUCUUUUCUUUCUUUCUUUUUUUUUUCUUUUAUCUUUGCUACAAAUGAAGAAAUUGAGUAGAAGCCAGCAUCAGGUACUUGGGAAUGUGGAAGAGAGGCAGAUGGCAGAAAGGCCCCGUGGAGCUCUCCAUUUCCCCAGGGUCACUCUUUAAAUGACACAAGUUCUCAGCCAUAGAAUACCUAGCUGCAAGAGCUCCCAUAUCCAGCUGGGAUGAAGAUGCCCUGGCACAAGCGGUGAAGUUUAGCCACAGGGUCUAACUCUCCAGCGAACAAAUCCAGUCUAAGGAGUGGGGACGGGCCAUCUCGGAUUUCCCCCCAAGAGUGGUCAGCUGCAUGUGUGGCUGGCUGGAGGUGGUUCAGGUUAGUUAGUUAUUGAUAUCCUGUGUUAAGAUUCCUGCCUCGGCUGCACUGAAGGGAUCCGGGCGGCAGUGACUUCACUCAACUCAAAUUGCAAUCAGCCAGCCGCUUGGCUCGUGUGUUUCUCUACCCAGAACUAUUUUUGGUGUGUGUUCAUAGACAGCACACACAAGAGUAUUUGGUAUUUGAGACGCAAGCGUUAGGGUGAUUGAAGUUAGCUGCUAAUGAGCAUGCCUAGAAUAGAUCUACUCCAAGUGUGUGAGCGUGUGCGUGCUCUCUGUGUGUGGGCCCCACGGUGUGUCUGCAAAGCAGAUAUCUACAGACUUGCCCUCAGGUGACCUUACUGAUGUCCUCGAGCUGCUGCAUCAGCUAAGAUGUCCCUGGAUGGAAGCUGGGAGUGGAAGAAAUUUGGUCUGUCUCAAAUCCUCCCUUACCAGGCACCCUUGCUCCCCACCCCAUCUAUAUUCGAUCUGUCCUUCAAAGCUUAGCCCAUCCCACCUUACCAGGGAGGCUUGCUUGACCAGCCUCUGAACCCCUAGACCAGGGACAGCAAAUAGGUUUCACCACAAGUGCCAAAUCAGAUCAAACUGGCAGUGAUUAUCUGGAGCACUGUGUUGAGGAGGAUGCUGAGG
Dasypus novemcinctus (nine-banded armadillo) is the source of this 2433-nucleotide long non-coding RNA. Lineage: Eukaryota; Metazoa; Chordata; Mammalia; Cingulata; Dasypodidae. The record is from Ensembl.